Molecule: ribosomal RNA, 442 nt
Filed under: uncultured bacterium
Lineage: Bacteria
Description: partial 16S ribosomal RNA
Rfam family: Bacterial small subunit ribosomal RNA
Source: RNAcentral
CCUACGGGAGGCAGCAGUAGGGAAUCUUUCACAAUGGGCGAACGCCUGAUGGAGCAACGCCGCGUGCAGGAUGAAGGCCUUCUGGUUGUAAACUGCUUUUAUAAGCGAGAAAUAUGAUGGUAACUUAUGAAUAAGGAUCGGCUAACUACGUGCCAGCAGCGGCGGUCAUACGUAGGAUCCGAGCAUUAUCCGGAGUGACUGGGUGUAAAGAGUUGCGUAGGUGGCAUAAUAAGUAGCUAGUGAAAUCUGGUGGCUCAACCAUUCAGACUAUUAGCGAAACUGUUAAGCUCGAGACCGUUAGGGGUAACUGGAAUUUCUAGUGUAGGAGUGAAAUCCGUAGAUAUUAGAAGGAACACCAAUAGCGUAGGCAGGUUACUGGGACGGUUCUGACACUAAGGCACGAAAGCGUAGGGAGCAAACGGGAUUAGAUACCCUAGUAGUC